GAAAGCAUCUAAGUGGGAAGCCUACCCCAAAACGAGAUAUCCCGUGGCGUAAGCCACCUAAAGACCCCUGGAAGAUGACCAGGUUGAUAGGCGGAAGGUGUAAGUAUGGUAACAUAUUCAGCCCAUCCGUACUAAUCGGUCGUGCGGCUUGGUCAUACUACC
This 162-nucleotide ribosomal RNA is filed under the name bacterium. RNAcentral's name for it is "partial 23S ribosomal RNA". It matches the Rfam family "Bacterial large subunit ribosomal RNA", at positions 2773 to 2925 of the family's 2925-position model. The record is from RNAcentral.